Molecule: ribosomal RNA, 468 nt
Filed under: uncultured Alphaproteobacteria bacterium
Lineage: Bacteria; Pseudomonadati; Pseudomonadota; Alphaproteobacteria
Description: bacterial SSU rRNA
Rfam family: Bacterial small subunit ribosomal RNA
Source: RNAcentral
GAGUUUGAUCGUGGCUCAGAACGAACGCUGGCGGCAUGCCUAACACAUGCAAGUCGAACGAGACCUUCGGGUCUAGUGGCGCACGGGUGCGUAACGCGUGGGAACCUGCCUUUAGGUUCGGAAUAACUCCCCGAAAGGGUGCUAAUACCGAAUAAUGUCUUCGGACCAAAGAUUUAUCGCCUUUAGAUGGGCCCGCGUUGGAUUAGCUAGUUGGUGGGGUAAAGGCCUACCAAGGCGACGAUCCAUAGCUGGUCUUAGAGGAUGAUCAGCCACACUGGGACUGAGACACGGCCCAGACUCCUACGGGAGGCAGCAGUGGGGAAUAUUGGACAAUGGGCGAAAGCCUGAUCCAGCAAUGCCGCGUGAGUGAUGAAGGCCUUAGGGUUGUAAAGCUCUUUUACCAGGGAUGAUAAUGACAGUACCUGGAGAAUAAGCUCCGGCUAACUCCGUGCCAGCCGCCGCGGUAAG